This 374-nucleotide ribosomal RNA is filed under the name uncultured bacterium. RNAcentral describes it as "bacterial SSU rRNA". It matches the Rfam family "Bacterial small subunit ribosomal RNA", at positions 524 to 898 of the family's 1533-position model. The record is from RNAcentral.
UACGUACUGUGCGAACGUUAUUCGGAAUCACUGGGCUUAAAGGGUGCGUAGGCGGCUAUCUAAGUAGGGUGUGAAAGCUCUCGGCUCAACCGAGGAAUUGCGCUCUAAACUGGAUGGCUUGAGUGAGAUAGGGGUGUGCGGAACUUCCAGUGGAGCGGUGAAAUGUGUUGAUAUUGGAAGGAACACCGGUGGCGAAAGCGGCACACUGGGUCUUAACUGACGCUGAGGCACGAAAGCCAGGGGAGCGAACGGGAUUAGAUACCCCGGUAGUCCUGGCUGUAAACGAUGAGCACUAGACGGGAGGGGCUUCGGCCCAUCCGGUCGCAGCGAAAGCGUUAAGUGCUCCGCCUGGGGAGUAUGGUCGCAAGGCUGAA